RNAcentral lists this ribosomal RNA (3483 nucleotides) under Triticum aestivum (bread wheat). RNAcentral's name for it is "partial small subunit ribosomal RNA". Lineage: Eukaryota; Viridiplantae; Streptophyta; Magnoliopsida; Poales; Poaceae. The record is from RNAcentral.
AUGAGGGUGGAGAGGAGGGGACGACAGGUGACGGGAGCGCUGCCGGCCGGCACGGGAGCGGCGGCGCGGCAGAUAGUGCUCCCUCUCAUGCCGCGCUGCUGCGGGCGGCACGGCGGCUCCUGCUCCCUCGGCUGCGGGGCGCGCGACAUACUACGGGCGGGGGGUGGCACGUUGGCUCCUGGUCCCUGUGCGGCGUGGCGGCAGCGCGGCGCACAACAUGCUGCAGGCGGGCCAGGGGCGCGGCGACUCCUGCUCCAUAGGCGGCAUGGCGGCGGCGGAGAGGGAGCGUGGGGAUCGUGUGUGGAGGCGGCGGAGGCGGCCAAGGCCGCGGAGAACCCCAACUUCGUCACCAAGCAAAGGUUCUUGUACAAGGCCGCGCGCGGUCGCGCCGCAUGCAACGUGGUCGUGACACAGUCGGACGCGGAGGCGGCGCAGGCGAUCGCGGACAAGAAUGUCGGCAACUGCGCACCCUUAUCGCCGCCAAUGAAGUUUCGGUGGUGCCGGUUCCACGACGAGGCACGUCCGUCCAUGUCCAUCAUCGAUCCUCACGUGAACCGACACGGUGUGGACGGGCAUCGCAACGGUAAGAAAUUCCCCUGUCCGCCCCCAAUUCGAGACGGAAGCACCGCACAGCAGCCUACCCCUGCCCCUGCCCCUGCCCCUGCCCGCUCCGGAUCCUUCCAUCCAUCACGAACCCACCAGCUCCACUUUCCUUUUAUUUCCGCCGCCACGCCACGCCACGCGCACCUCGGCGAAGGACAAGGCUCCGGCUGCCGCCACCGCCUCUGCCCCGGCUAUAAAGCCGCGCCCUUUGGCCGGCCCGCUCCUCCUCCUCCUCGCUUCGCCCGGGCCGCGCCUUCCUCCUCCUCGCCGCGCACUGCCCGGUCUGCUCCAACUCCUCUCCUCGCCCGGGCCGUGCCUUCCUCCUCCUCGCCGCGCCCUGCCCGGUCUGCUCCUCCACCUCCUCUCUUCGCCCCGGCCGCGCCUUCCUCCUCCUCGCCGCGCUCCGGCCGGUCCGCUGCUCCUCCACCCUUCGUCCGGGCCGUGCUUCGUCAGUUUAGAACCGCUCCCGAGUUGGUUUUGCGCGUCCCCGCCGUCGUCAGCUUAGAGUCGCUCGCUUCUGAUUUGAUUCUGCUCGUCCUCGCCGUCGUCCGUUUUCGUUUUGUUCGUCCUCGCCGUUGCCCCGACGCGCUCGCAUGUUCUUGGUCCGCCUCGUCGAGGGUCUCCGUCUGGUUUGCGAUUCAGAAAUUUCUGCGUGUGCUUCUGUUGUCUGAGAGACGCUUUGGAUCCUGCGUUUCUUCGUGUUCGUGUCAGCGCGAUUGUUACAGGAACGGUCGGGUCUUGGUUUUGAAAUUGGAUUACGGGCCGGAGAUGGAGAGACGGGGAGAGAUUGACAAGGUUCUGUUCGUAGGAUAUAGACAAAUGUCACAUUUGCUCUUCCUUGUGUUGCUAAGGACACUGAUGGGUGGGGUUUGCUUACAGCGCAGGACCGGUAAUUCUGAUAGUAUGCCAAGGACUGCUCAGGGUUCCUAUUGCUUUCUGUUUUACCACCUAAGUAUUUUCCUGACUCUGAAAUUUGGUGAUAAAGAAAAGAAUCCAGGGUGGAUGGAGGUUUUCAUGAUGGCUAAUUUGAUUUGUUAUGAUGGUGUGCUUCUUGUGUUUGAACUGAAGCCGUGGAUCACUCAUCAACCUGGUCUGUGUUUGUAUGAAGGUUCUUUAACACUGAACUCAUCAAAGAUCCUUGGACUCAAGAGGAAGAUGACCAAAUUAUUGACCUUAUGGACUGACAAAAUGGUCUCAUUGCAAGGUCAGCUACCAGAACUUCUUGCUGCUGAUCCUGGGAUGUUUCCGAACAUGCUCCCAAACAUGUUCAAUUUAUCCGCCCUAGGACAGGUUACUCGGCAUGCUCGGCGUGUUUACUUCUGUGGACUUCCUCCGAUCGAUAAUGAACAGAUGGUUGCUCUAUUCUUCAAUCAAGUUAUGGCUGCUAUCGGGGGAAACACAUUUGGUCUAGAAAUAGCAAAAGUUAUUCCUGGAAGUGGAUCUUCACAUAAUGUGAUAGCAUGUCAUGAAGCUUUGAAAUGCAUCCUUCCUUGCUAUGAAAAAUCUAGGCAUGCCAGGAACUUCGUGAUUCCUUUCUCAAGCUGUAUGAGAGAAAAAGGGUCACGCAGGAGUCAAUCCCACGACGUCCUAGGAUGGCCCACUCGUCGUUAUCUCUCUUAUCACCCCGUCUUCUUCUUUCUCUAUCUCUUUUCCUUCCUCCCGUGGUUCACCCAGAGUGACGCCGCUGGCGAGCAGCCCGCCUUCCCCCUCCCCCUCCCCCCCCCUCGCGCAGGAAGCAUCCUGCCCGAGUUAGGCGACCUUCGUUGGCUGCUACAGACGAACAGGGCAAGCGAAGAGCACACAGAGCUGCGCAUGCCGGUGCUCGUGCGCCGCCACCUGCUGCUGUCCCCAGCUCCUCGCCGCCCUUGGUGUGGUCGCUCCUUGCCGCCACCUGUUGCGCCCACCGGCCACUCGCCGCCUUUGUUGUGCGAGUAUGAGGCUCUGCAGUCGUCGCGUGCUUAUGGACGUGAGCGGCCUGAGGCCUUGCUGCUGGCCGCGCCAUGGGGAGUCGCCGGUCGUGCACCCCUAGUCAAUGUCCUGGAGCUCGGCCUCCUCAGGUGGCUGGGAGGGGAUGGAGGGGAGUGGGCGGCGAUUCUAGGGAGAGGACGGCGGCCGGUUGCGGGAGAGAGGUCGAGCCGGUUUACACCGUCUGAUGCGUUAGAUAAUAAGAGUACUUUCAGACUUGCAACCCCGGCCCUAGAUCGUCUUGACUAUUCCCAGGUCACAGCUCCCUGCUCUCAUACUCUACGUCUGCGCUGCACAUGCACCCUGCUCCAGCGCGCGGCUACUACUAUACCCGUCUCCUCCGGGCUCCGGCCAGCUCUGCUGGCAGGUCGCUGCCAAUGCAUCUUGGCUUUGCACUGUCGCUCAAUGGUGACACGCCAAAGACUCGGCAGGUGUUGCAUCAAGGUAUCACCACACCAUGGUGAGAUCCCCUUUGCUGCUAACCAGGAACUUGAGAAUUGUUUCGAUGCUCAAAACUAUGAAAACGCCACCGUAGAAGGAUCUCCAGCUCAAAAGAGCCUGGACUCACCGGGCGUAAGAAAAUACGAAGCAAGUCAGAGCCUGCAAGGAGACCGGGGGUGGAGCUGCAAUCUGGAUGCGGAGGUGAUCCGGUGGUGCUGGUGUGUGAACGGAGGGGAUGAACCGACGAAGGUGGUGGUUUGGCGGGAUUGCAUGGGUGGCGAAUCCGUGUCACAUGAGCCGUUCGAUGUAAUAGAAUCGACGGCUACAACAGGGGAGGAGAAGCUCCGCCCAAGGAAAAAUUACAAAAAGGCCAACAGACAGAGUGACAACCCUCUUUCACCAAAGAAGAAGGCGAAAGGCGAUAUGCUCUCGGCUGGUGGUUCUGUAACUGGAAGCAACCAGCUUAGCAGUUGA